This 460-nucleotide long non-coding RNA is filed under the name Rattus norvegicus (Norway rat). RNAcentral describes it as "long non-coding RNA NONRATT027099". Lineage: Eukaryota; Metazoa; Chordata; Mammalia; Rodentia; Muridae. The record is from RNAcentral.
GACAAGCUCUGGAGGCUGUUGUGGAGUCCCGAGACUAGGCCUAAGGCAUUGUCCUGUGCCUUUGAGUGGGCAGUGGGCCUGUUGGGCAUUGGGACAGCUGUACCAGACAGUGCUGUCCCCUGUCCGUGUACCCUUUAGCUUCCCAUUGAGAUAGGGAGGAGCCUUCUCAGCUUGACCCCAACUUCCAGAGACCCCUCAUUCCUGUUGCUCUUUUGGGCUUCAUGAGAUGGGAGGGCGUGACUGGAGUGAGGCAGAUGAUGGGAGCAGCUUCUCACCUGACCUGUGAGGACUCCGAUCAUGAAAGCUAGGGCUUGGGGGUGGGGUAUAGGGAAGGACCAGGGUGGGGAGACUUGACUGAACACCUCUAUCACAUCGACUUCGGGGUGGGCUGAGCCCAGGGCUCACUCAGGGGUGACAUUUGCAAAAAACAAAAAACAAAACAAAAAAACAAAAAAAAAAC